Molecule: long non-coding RNA, 2970 nt
Organism: Oncorhynchus mykiss (rainbow trout)
Lineage: Eukaryota; Metazoa; Chordata; Actinopteri; Salmoniformes; Salmonidae
Source: Ensembl
UCUGGUGUCUGUCACAUCUCUGCCUGUCCUGAAUCCCCUGCCCUGGUUGCUGUAGACCAGUGUUCCCCAACCCUGGUCCUCCAGUACCCCCAACCCUGGUCCUCAAUUACCCCCAACCCUGGUCCUCAAACAUGGUCCUCCAGUACACCCAAUCCUGGUCCUCCAGUACCCCCAACCCUGGUCCUUCAGUACCCCCAACCCUGUUCCCCAACUCUGGUCCCCAACCCUGGUCCUCCAGUACCCCCAACCCUGGUCCUCCAGUACACCCAACAGUGUUCCCCAACCCUGGUCCUCCAGUACCCCCAACAGUGUUCCCCAACCCUGGUCCUCCAGUACCCCCAACAGUGUUCCCCAACCCUGGUCCUCCAGUACCCCCAACUGUGUUCCCCAACCCUGGUCCUCCAGUACCCCCAACAGUGUUCCCCAACCCUGGUCCUCCAGUACCCACGACUCUGGUCCUCCAGUACCCACGACUCUGGUCCUCCAGUACCCACGACUCUGGUCCUCCAGUACCCCCAACCCUGGACCUCCAGUACCCCCAACUCUGGUCCUCCAGUACCCCCAACAGUGUUCCCCAACUCUGGUCCUCCAGUAGCCCCAACCCUGGUGCCCAACCCUGGUCCCCAACCCUGGUCCUCCAGUACCCCCAACCCUGGUCCCCAACCCUGGUCCUCCAUUACCCCCAACCCUGGUCCCCCAGUACCCCCAACCCUGGUCCCCCAGUACCCCCAACCCUGGUCCCCCAGUACCCCCAACUCUGGUCCUCCAGUACCCCCAACUCUGGUCCUCCAGUACCCCCAACUCUGGUCCUCCAGUACCCCCAACUCUGGUCCUCCAGUACCCCCAACUCUGGUCCUCCAGUACCCCCAACUCUGGUCCUCCAGUACCCCCAACUCUGGUCCUCCAGUACCCCCAACCCUGGUCCUCCAGUACCCCCAACAGUGUUCCCCAACCCUGGUCCUCCAGUACCCCCAACCCUGGACCUCCAGUACCCCCAACAGGGUUCCCAAACUCUGGUCCUCCAGUACCCCCAACCCGGGGUCUCCUGUACCCCCAAACCCGGUCCUCCAGUACCCCCAAAUCCUGUUUCCAAACUCUGGUCCUCCAGUACCCCCAACCCGGGGCCUCCAGUACCCCCAACAGUGUUCCCCAACUCUGGUCCUCCAGUACCCCCAACAGUGUUCCCCAACUCUGGUCCUCCAGUACCCCCAACCCUGGACCUCCAGUACCCCCAAAAGGGUUCCCCAACCCUGGACCACCAGUACCCCUAACUCUGGUCCUCCAGUACCCCCAACCCUGGUCCCCAACACCCCCAACCCUGGUCCUCCAGUACCCCCAACCCUGGUCCUCCAGUACCCCCAACCCUGGUCCUCCAGUACCCCCAACCCUGGUCCUCCAGUACCCCCAACCCUGGUCCUCCAGUACCCCCAACCCUGGUCCUCCAGUACCCCCAACCCUGGUCCUCCAGUACCCCAACCCUGGUCCUCCAGCACCUCCAACCCUGGACCUCCAGUACCCCCAACCCUGGACCUCCAGUACCCCCAACGCUGGACCUCCAGUACCCCCAACUCUGGUCCUCCAGUACCCUCAACUGUGUUCCCCAACUCUGGUCCUCCAGUACCCCCAACCCUGGUCCCCAACCCUGGUCCUCCAGUACCCCCAACCCUGGUCCCCAACCCUGGUCCUCCAGUACCCCCAACCCUGGUCCCCCAGUACCCCCAACCCUGGACCUCCAGUACCCCCAACUCUGGUCCUCCAGUACCCUCAACUGUGUUCCCCAACUCUGGUCCUCCAGUACCCCCAACCCUGGUCCCCAACCCUGGUCCUCCAGUACCCCCAACCCUGGUCCCCAACCCUUUGUCCUCCAGUACCCCCAACCCUGGUCCCCAACCCUGGUCCCCCAGUACCCCCAACCCUGGUCCUCCAGUACCCCCAACUUUGGUCCUCCAGUACCCCCAACUCUGGUCCUCCAGUACCCCCAACUCUGGUCCCCAACCCUGGUCCUCCAGUACCCCCAACCCUGGUCCCCAACCCUGGUCCCCUAGUACCCCCAACCCUUGUCCCCCAGUACCCCCAACCCUGGUCCCCCAGUACCCCAAACCCUGGUCCCCCAGUACCCCCAACUCUGGUCCUCCAGUACCCCCAACUCUGGUCCUCCAGUACCCCCAACUCUGGUCCUCCAGUACCCCCAACUCUGGUCCUCCAGUACCCCCAACUCUGGUCCUCCAGUACCCCCAACUCUGGUCCUCCAGUAAACCCAACUCUGGUCCUCCAGUACCCCCAACCCUGGUCCUCCAGUACCCCCAACCCUGGUCCUCCAGUACCCCCAACCCUGAUCCUCCAGUACCCCCAACCCUGGUCCUCCAGUACCCCCAACCCUGGUCCUCCAGUACCCCCAACCCUGAUCCUCCAGUACCCCCAACUCUGGUCCUCCAGUACCCCCAACCCUGGUCCUCCAGUACCCCCAACCCUGGUCCUCCAGUACCCCCAACCCUGGUCCUCCAGUACCCCCAACCCUGGACCUCCAGUACCCCCAACAGGGUUCCCAAACUCUGGUCCUCCAGUACCCCCAACCCGGGGUCUCCUGUACCCCCAAACCCGGUCCUCCAGUACCCCCAAAUCCUGCUUCCAAACUCUGGUCCUCCAGUACCCCCAACAGGGUUCCGAAACUCUGGUCCUCCAGUACCCCCAACCCGGGGUCUCCUGUACCCCCAAACCCGGUCCUCCAGUACCCCCAAAUCCUGCUUCCAAACUCUGGUCCUCCAGUACCCCCAACCCGGGGCCUCCAGUACCCCCAACAGUGUUCCCCAACUCUGGUCCUCCAGUACCCCCAACAGUGUUCCCCAACUCUGUUCCUCCAGUACCCCCAACCCUGGACCUCCAGUACCCCCAAAAGGGUUCCCCAACCCUGGACCACCAGUACCCCCAACCCUGGUCCCCAACACCCUCAACCCUGGUCCUCCAGUACCC